CGGCGAGUGAAGCGGCAACAGCUCAAAUUUGAAAUCUGGCGUCGUGUGGCGUCCGAGUUGUAAUUUGCAGAGGGAGCCUCGGAGGGCGAGUCGGUCCAAGUGCCUUGGAACAGGAUACCGCAGAGGGUGAGAGUCCCGUAUCCGGCCGAUUUUGCGCUCCGUGUGAGGCCUCUUCGACGAGUCGAGUUGUUUGGGAAUGCAGCUCCAAGCGGGUGGUAAAUUCCAUCUAAAGCUAAAUACCGGCCAGAGACCGAUAGCGAACAAGUAGAGUGAUCGAAAGAUGAAAAGCACUUUGAAAAGAGAGUCAAACAGUACGUGAAAUUGUUGAAAGGGAAGCGCAUGGGGGCAGACUUGGACGUGGGGUUCAGGACGUCAGUUUUGACGUCUGUACUUCCCUGCGGACAGGCCAGCAUCGGUUUCGGGGGCCGGACAAAGGCGGCGGGAACGUGGCUCUCCUCGGAGAGUGUUAUAGCCCGUCGUGCAAUGCGGCC
Molecule: ribosomal RNA, 491 nt
Filed under: Scolecobasidium bacilliforme
Lineage: Eukaryota; Fungi; Ascomycota; Dothideomycetes; Venturiales; Sympoventuriaceae
Description: eukaryotic LSU rRNA
Rfam family: Eukaryotic large subunit ribosomal RNA
Source: RNAcentral